Molecule: unclassified non-coding RNA, 404 nt
Filed under: soil metagenome
Description: partial contains 5.8S ribosomal RNA, internal transcribed spacer 2, and large subunit ribosomal RNA
Rfam family: 5.8S ribosomal RNA (bases 1-122)
Source: RNAcentral
GAUGAAGAACGUAGCAAAAUGCGAUACUUGGUGUGAAUUGCAGAAUCCCGUGAACCAUCGAGUUUUUGAACGCAAGUUGCGCCCGAAGCCUUUUGGCCGAGGGCACGUCUGCCUGGGCGUCACGCAUCGCGUCGCCCCCCACAAUUCUCCGUAAAAGGAACAUGUGUUUUGGGGGCGGAUAUUGGUCUCCCGUGCUCAUGGCGUGGUUGGCCGAAAUAGGAGUCCUUUCGAUGGACGCACGAACUAGUGGUGGUCGUAAAAACCCUCGUCUUUUGUUUCGUGCUGUUGCUCGCAAGGUAAACUCUUUAAAAACCCCAAUGUGUCGUCUCUUGACGACGCUUCGACCGCGACCCCAGGUCAGGCAGGACUACCCGCUGAGUUUAAGCAUAUCAAUAAGCGGAGGA